AGUGAACGCUGGCGGUAGGCCUAACACAUGCAAGUCGAACGGCAGCACAGUAAGAGCUUGCUCUUACGGGUGGCGAGUGGCGGACGGGUGAGGAAUACAUCGGAAUCUACUUUUUCGUGGGGGAUAACGUAGGGAAACUUACGCUAAUACCGCAUACGACCUACGGGUGAAAGCAGGGGAUCUUCGGACCUUGCGCGAUUGAAUGAGCCGAUGUCGGAUUAGCUAGUUGGCGGGGUAAAGGCCCACCAAGGCGACGAUCCGUAGCUGGUCUGAGAGGAUGAUCAGCCACACUGGAACUGAGACACGGUCCAGACUCCUACGGGAGGCAGCAGUGGGGAAUAUUGGACAAUGGGCGGAAGCCUGAUCCAGCCAUACCGCGUGGGUGAAGAAGGCCUUCGGGUUGGAAAGCCCUUUUGUUGGGAAAGAAAAGCAGCAGGUUAAUACCCCGCUGUCCUGACGGUACCCAAAGAAUAAGCACCGGCUAACUUCGUG
This 492-nucleotide ribosomal RNA is filed under the name uncultured bacterium. RNAcentral describes it as "partial 16S ribosomal RNA". It matches the Rfam family "Bacterial small subunit ribosomal RNA", at positions 29 to 507 of the family's 1533-position model. The record is from RNAcentral.